UGGAGAAUAUUGCACAAUCGGCGCAAGCCUGAUGCAGCCAUGCCGCGUGUAUGAAGAAGGCCUUCGGGUUGUAAAGUACUUUCAGUCGGGAGGAAGGUGGUAAGGUUAAUAACCUUAUCAAUUGACGUUACCGACAGAAGAAGCACCGGCUAACUCCGUGCCAGCAGCCGCGGUAAUACGGAGGGUGCAAGCGUUAAUCGGAAUUACUGGGCGUAAAGCGCACGCAGGCGGUUGAUUGAGUCAGAUGUGAAAUCCCCGGGCUUAAGCCGGGAAUUGCAUCUGAUACUGGUCAGCUAGAGUCUUGUAGAGGGGGGUAGAAUUCCAUGUGUAGCGGUGAAAUGCGUAGAGAUGUGGAGGAAUACCGGUGGCGAAGGCGGCCCCCUGGACAAAGACUGACGCUAAGGUGCGAAAGCGUGGGGAGCAAACAGG
Molecule: ribosomal RNA, 429 nt
Filed under: Chloroflexota bacterium
Lineage: Bacteria; Bacillati; Chloroflexota
Description: Chloroflexi bacterium partial 16S ribosomal RNA
Rfam family: Bacterial small subunit ribosomal RNA
Source: RNAcentral